RNAcentral lists this transfer RNA (73 nucleotides) under Entomophthora muscae. RNAcentral's name for it is "tRNA-Lys". It matches the Rfam family "tRNA". From Rfam's summary of the family: Transfer RNA (tRNA) molecules are approximately 80 nucleotides in length. Their secondary structure includes four short double-helical elements and three loops (D, anti-codon, and T loops). Lineage: Eukaryota; Fungi; Entomophthoromycota; Entomophthoromycetes; Entomophthorales; Entomophthoraceae. The record is from RNAcentral.
GCCCUGUUAGCUCAUUCGGUAGAGCAUGAGACUUUUAAUCUCAGGGUCACGGGUUCGAGCCCCGUACAAGGCU